This 1027-nucleotide long non-coding RNA is filed under the name Citrus sinensis (sweet orange). Its description in RNAcentral is "long non-coding RNA (CSIN_LNC003327)". Lineage: Eukaryota; Viridiplantae; Streptophyta; Magnoliopsida; Sapindales; Rutaceae. The record is from RNAcentral.
AUCUUCAUCUGGGUCUGAAGCCUUGUUUGCCGGAGAAGCUUAGGGCGGAGACGCCGUCGGAGGAGUCCGAAACGACGACGUCGGGAACCGGGUCUGAUAAUUGUUGCUCUGAGGUCGCAGGUGAAAAGAAGCUUUUGAGACUCUUCCUCUGAAACAACAGACGAGUAUUAAUAACCUCUCUCUUUUUUUUUUUUAGUCUUAAAUAAUUUUAGGACAAUUAUAUAAGAAUUAAUGUAUAAUCUUCUCUUCUUAAUUUUGGCCUUCAGUAUAUUUAAUUAAAAUAUUUCCUCACUCCCUCUAGUGCUAUAGAGGAAUUUUGAGUUUUUAUUUUUUAUUUUUUAUCAUUCAAUAAAAUAUGACUACUUAUCGAUUCAUUAUCAAUCACAAGAAACCAUAGCCAAGAGAUGAUGGCAGCAAAAUUUGGAGCCAUGAAUGGAUUGUAGGGCAAGUAAUGUACACAAAUAGCAGAAGUUAAUUUCAGAUGAUGAAACCGAAAGGUGACUGGCUUUUGAAAAAGGCAAAUGAAUGGAAUUAGCAGCAUUUGAUUUUGGGUUUUGAUUUGUUAUUUCUGACCUACCAAAGGAAAAAGGAAAAUAGCCAAAUGGUUUUUGGGCAACAAGCGAAUCCCACCAUAUCAAAAAGCACGCCAGUAGGAACGAAGUAAAGCAAAUAAUAAUAAUUAUAGUCGGCAUCAAAAUUGAUUUUUUUUUUUGGUCUUUCAUUGUGAAUUUGUGAUCAGAUAAUUUGAGGAUUUAGCCCCAUUGACAUUGCUGGCAAUGGGGCUGUGGGUUCCAUUUUGACGCAUUUUGCAGCACAAGCACAUAUAAUGCUUUGCUUUGUGGCCGCAUCACCCAUUUUUGCGGGGACCCCUUUAUAGCUUUUCGUUGUUCUCUCUUCUCCUACAACUCAGUGUGUGGGAUUUUAUUAUUUUGGAUCAUUUUCUUGUGGAUUUACUUUUUUCCAGCGUCGUUCUCAAAAGAUAUUUUUGAGUAAACAAAUUUACAUAAAAAGGUAAAAAGCAUAUUUC